Molecule: non-coding RNA, 536 nt
Organism: Mobula hypostoma (lesser devil ray)
Lineage: Eukaryota; Metazoa; Chordata; Chondrichthyes; Myliobatiformes; Myliobatidae
Source: the annotation of a RefSeq genome assembly
GCAUUAGUACCCAGUCGGCGCUUCCCUCUCUAUUUCAUCCAUGUCACACUGGCCCCUAAAGCUCAGAAGUGUCGCCAUUUUUGUCGUAGAAAAUGCGACACCAUUCACUCGUUGCGUUGUGGGUUUCAUUGAUCAUUGAUCUGAGUGAUGGCGUUUCAGUGACUCAGCGGGAAUCCUCACUCACCGGGACUGAGGGCGAACGCAUUACCUUCACGUGCACCUACACCAGUGAUGCUAAUUACUUAUUUUGGUAUCGCCAAAACCUUGGUGAACAGAUCGAGUUUGUGGCUCGGCGAAACACACGUGGUGACAACGACAUUCAGGCGGAUUUUGCCAAAGGCCGGUUCGCUGAUGUUGUCCAGGAGAGCCAAAUGGAGUAUCGUUUGACAAUUCCGGCGAUGCGGUUGUAUGAUAUGAGAGUGGUGAUUCCGUGGAAUGGGUUGCCGGCGGCGUUGGCCGAGGCGCAAACAAUAACGUCUUUCAAGAGACUCCUGGAUAGAUCCAUGGAGCCGAGAAAAAUACAGGGCUAUGUGUAA